This 274-nucleotide ribosomal RNA is filed under the name uncultured bacterium. RNAcentral's name for it is "partial 16S ribosomal RNA". It matches the Rfam family "Bacterial small subunit ribosomal RNA", at positions 523 to 796 of the family's 1533-position model. The record is from RNAcentral.
AUACGGAGGGUGCAAGCGUUACUCGGAAUCACUGGGCGUAAAGCGCGCGCAGGCGGCUAUUUAAGUUGGAUGUGAAAGCCUACAGCUCAACCGUAGAACUGCAUCCAAAACUAUUUAGCUAGAGUGUGGGAGAGGAAGAUGGAAUUAGUUGUGUAGGGGUAAAAUCCGUAGAGAUAACUAGGAAUACCAAAAGCGAAGGCAAUCUUCUGGAACACUACUGACGCUGAGGCGCGAAAGCGUGGGGAGCAAACAGGAUUAGAUACCCUAGUAGUCC